Long non-coding RNA from Perognathus longimembris pacificus (Pacific pocket mouse), 150 nucleotides. RefSeq lists it as uncharacterized. The record is from RefSeq and is a predicted model, not a curated record. Lineage: Eukaryota; Metazoa; Chordata; Mammalia; Rodentia; Heteromyidae. The transcript is spliced from 4 exons.
CACUUCUGACCAUUUACUGUAUAUGUGGCAUUGGGGAAUCAAACCCAGGGCUUCAUAUAUAUGAGGCAAGCACUCAUGCCACCAGGUCAUAAUCCCAGCCCUCUCAUAUACUUUCCUGCCUAGGCUGGCUUCAAACUGUGAUCCUCAGAU